Molecule: ribosomal RNA, 468 nt
Filed under: uncultured bacterium
Lineage: Bacteria
Description: partial 16S ribosomal RNA
Rfam family: Bacterial small subunit ribosomal RNA
Source: RNAcentral
GACGAACGCUGGCGGCGUGCUUAACACAUGCAAGUCGAACGGAAAGGCCCUGCCUUUGUGGGGUGCUCGAGUGGCGAACGGGUGAGUAACACGUGAGUAACCUGCCCUUGACUUUGGGAUAACUUCAGGAAACUGGGGCUAAUACCGGAUAGGAGCUCCUGCUGCAUGGUGGGGGUUGGAAAGUUUCGGCGGUUGGGGAUGGACUCGCGGCUUAUCAGCGUGUUGGUGGGGUAGUGGCUUACCAAGGCUUUGACGGGUAGCCGGCCUGAGAGGGUGACCGGCCACAUUGGGACUGAGAUACGGCCCAGACUCCUACGGGAGGCAGCAGUGGGGAAUAUUGCACAAUGGGCGGAAGCCUGAUGCAGCAACGCCGCGUGCGGGAUGACGGCCUUCGGGUUGUAAACCGCUUUCGCCUGUGACGAAGCGUGAGUGACGGUAAUGGGUAAAGAAGCACCGGCUAACUACGUG